RNAcentral lists this ribosomal RNA (527 nucleotides) under uncultured bacterium. Its description in RNAcentral is "partial 16S ribosomal RNA". It matches the Rfam family "Bacterial small subunit ribosomal RNA", at positions 355 to 871 of the family's 1533-position model. The record is from RNAcentral.
UGGGGAAUAUUGCACAAUGGGCGCAAGCCUGAUGCAGCCAUGCCGCGUGUGUGAAGAAGGCCUUCGGGUUGUAAAGCACUUUCAGCGAGGAGGAAGGUGGUGAACUUAAUACGUUCAUCAAUUGACGUUACUCGCAGAAGAAGCACCGGCUAACUCCGUGCCAGCAGCCGCGGUAAUACGGAGGGUGCAAGCGUUAAUCGGAAUUACUGGGCGUAAAGCGCACGCAGGCGGUUUGUUAAGUCAGAUGUGAAAUCCCCGGGCUCAACCUGGGAACUGCAUUUGAAACUGGCAAGCUAGAGUCUCGUAGAGGGGGGUAGAAUUCCAGGUGUAGCGGUGAAAUGCGUAGAGAUCUGGAGGAAUACCGGUGGCGAAGGCGGCCCCCUGGACGAAGACUGACGCUCAGGUGCGAAAGCGUGGGGAGCAAAACAGGAUUAGAUACCCUGGUAGUCCACGCUGUAAAACGAUGUCGAUUUUGGAGGUUGUGCCCUUGAGGCGUGGCUUCCGGAGCUAACGCGUUAAAUCGACCG